Long non-coding RNA from Tripterygium wilfordii, 1798 nucleotides. RefSeq lists it as uncharacterized. The transcript is spliced from 7 exons. The record is from RefSeq and is a predicted model, not a curated record. Lineage: Eukaryota; Viridiplantae; Streptophyta; Magnoliopsida; Celastrales; Celastraceae.
UUCUCUACAUCGCAUGGGUUUUUGGGUAGAUUCAUGAUCUCUCUAAACUCCCAUCACUCCCAAAUUUCAUUCUCUUUUACGGUUUUGUGUUGUUCGAGCCUGUUCUUCCCACGGGUCAUUGGGGUUUCUCAGCCAUUGUGUGGGUGCAUUGUUUUCACCUCUUGGUCGAUUUUGCAUUGCUACUCUGUCUUGCGAUUGAAUUUCUGGGUUUUCGGUGACUGUGAUUUGCUGUUGUUUGUAUUUAUUGCCUUUUACUUGACUGUUCUGUCUUGCAAUUCAAUUUUUGGGUUCGCGGUAUAAGCGAGUAACUACUGAAGACAAUAUUACGGAUAAUUAGGUUUGCCAUUUUUUAUUUAUUCAAUAUGUGAUGAUUUUUUAGUGAAGUUGAAGGUUGUUUUUCCCUUUUCACUGCCUCCAUGUGUUGUAAUCCUUACCUUCUUCUCUAAUUGGUUUCUCAUGUUAUAAGGACUCCUAUUGCCUAUGUGAUCCAGGUACCUCGCGGCUUCCUUGAUGCGUUUUUCUUCCUAUUUCUUUGUUUGUUUCUGAGCGAAGCAUCAAUCGAAUGAAAAGUCACCAUAUAUUAAAUUGUCUUAUUUGCUCCUGGACUUUUGUAAUUUUUUUGAGGGCAAUGCAGGGGAUUCAUGUCGAGGUCGCAUUGGUUGUUCUAUGCGCACUGGGUUGCCUGUGGUGCUUGCUGUUCAGGCUCGAAAUUACGUUGUCGCUCAUAUUUGCUCUCAGGAGAGAUGCAAAACCUUGGAUUGCAACCAUCAACCCAUACAUAAUUAUAUGAUGCAUUUAUUAGAGUGGUUCACUUAAAAGGUCCGAAUGAUGGCAUUAAACUGCAAACUGGUAGACCUCAAAAUGGUGCAAGCAAAGGAAAGUAGACUAUUGGACUCGGACAAGAUUGCAUCAAAUUUUGUCCAUGGAUGGAAGACAUCAUCUCAAUGAGGUUCAUAUUCCGUAUUCACUUCUUACAGUAUCUGAUUGUCUUAUAGCAAAAAUAUUACUUUUGUUAGCAUCUAAUGAGUCUUCAUCUUAAUAAGAUCGAACUUAUAAAACAUGCUCUUAGUAUCCAAUGUUGGAUUUCUCACACUUGCUUUGAUGGUGGGGCUUUCAAUUGGUAUCAUUUAUUAUGAAUUUUUAUAGAUUGGCUAAUGAUUCUAAUAUUGUAAGAAUAAGGUAAUCAAUUAUCCUUCAUCCAGCACUACCAUUUCCACACACAAUCACAGGAUGCAAAAAGGGGAACUGACCAUGGACCUCUGCCAAGCAAAAGCCAAAUGCUAUGGUAUAUUUGUUUUCCAAGUUUUUUUUUUCUCAGAUAUACACUGCUCUUUGAUGGUGGGGUUUUCAAUUGGUUUUGUAGGGAAAUUUUGUUAUGUCUGUUCUAAGUAGAACCACACAGGUGCAUGCCUCAGACCAGGGGCAGUCGAGCCGGGCAUGCGCCCAGGCUAAAAACAGGUGAAUUUGGAUGGAUAUGCAGCUUCCCUUAUGAGUCCACUGGCAGGUAGCUUACUUGUGCUUCCACUUUGGAAUUACUCUGCUGAGCAUCAAUUAUCUAUCCAGAGAUAUCGACUUGCUAAAUACCUCUCUGAAUCUUCAUCCGAUGGUAGGUUAUCUGAUCUCCAUUUAUUAUUUACACACUAAUAUAGAACCAAUUGUAGUAACUGCUUCAUUAUUUUUGGUUGGAGAAAUUAUACUGAUUUACCAUGUAGAUUUUGUUUACUGAUGCAAUUUUAAAUAUUAUGCAACGGGAAGAAGUUGACAAGAAAUAAACUGGGGACAUGCUUUCACAUUUGAA